RNAcentral lists this ribosomal RNA (436 nucleotides) under Hemithyrsocera banvaneuensis. RNAcentral describes it as "partial 16S ribosomal RNA". The record is from RNAcentral. Lineage: Eukaryota; Metazoa; Arthropoda; Insecta; Blattodea; Blattellidae.
CUUUUCUUGUUUAUAAGUAGGAAAUAUAACCUGCCCACUGAAGAAUUUAAAGGGCCGCGGUAAUUUGACCGUGCAAAGGUAGCAUAAUCAUUAGUUUUUUAAUUGGAGGCUGGAAUGAAUGGUUGGACGAAAUAUAUACUGUCUUAAUUUAAAUUAUUGAAUUUAAUUAUUAGGUAAAAAAGCUUAAAUAAAUUUAUGGGACGAGAAGACCCUAUAGAAUUUAAUAAAUUAUAUUGUUUAUUAUUUGUGUUAAUUUGAUUACAAAUUUUAUUUAUUUUGUUGGGGUGAUGGAAAGAUAAAUUAAACUCUUUUUUAUUUAUAAUUAUAUUGAUAUAUAUAUUUAAUAGAUCCAUUUUUAGUGAUUUAAAGAUUAAAUUACCUUAGGGAUAACAGCGUAAUUCUUUUUGAGAGUUCAUAUCGACAGAAGAGAUUGCGA